UACGGAGGGUGCGAGCGUUGUCCGGAAUCAUUGGGCGUAAAGGGCGCGUAGGCGGCUCUGUUAGUCAGGCGUGAAAGUCCUGGGCUCAACCUGGGAACUGCGCUUGAUACGGCAGGGCUAGAGGAUGGAAGAGGGUCGCGGAAUUCCCAGUGGUAGAGGUGAAAAUUCGUAGAUAUCGGGAGGAACACCGGUGGCGAAGGCGGCGACCUGGGUAGAUACGUGACGCUGAGGCGCGAAACGGUGGGGAGCAAACAGGG
This 257-nucleotide ribosomal RNA is filed under the name uncultured bacterium. RNAcentral's name for it is "partial 16S ribosomal RNA". It matches the Rfam family "Bacterial small subunit ribosomal RNA", at positions 524 to 777 of the family's 1533-position model. The record is from RNAcentral.